CCAGGAAGGCCUUUUGAAUUCCCCUUUUUGCCUCACCAUUCCAAUAUAAGAAGCCUUGAUCUGAGUGCCUUAAAGAUCUGUUCUAGUGUGCAACAAUUUCUUGGAUUCCUAAAAAAAGAUUCAGACCAAUCAUUGUAAAGAUUACUUUGCUACUAUUGAAGUUUCUUGAUGAAAACCCUGGAAACAAGUAUCUCGUGGCUUGUCUAUUCAGGAGCAGCAGAUCAGCUCAUCUGGAAUCAUCCUGAAUGUUUAUUAGAAAGGAAGGAACUGAAGAUUUAGCCAUCUACUUCCAACAAAGCCCCAUCCAAUUCUCCUCAAUUGAAUGGAUGGAUAAGAUCACAUUACAUCUGCUUUCUGGAUGAAUGAGAUUACAUUUUGGAAAAAUUGACACAAAUGAAGAUGCCGCCGUUGACCUUUAAAGCCCUUCAGUUCAGACUAUUUGCAGGAUUGCUUCUCCCGUUGAAAACACGUCUAAGAUUACAAUCUAAAGGAAAGACCUUUCUUAAGAUGCUUCCUCUUUCAGAGGCCCAUCUAUCAGGCACAUGGAUGAUGUUCUCUCCUGCUACUAAUUUUAGGUGAUCUCUUUGACACUAUGGCAUGUACUAUCUACAGGUUAAAUUUUACUGUCCUCCAAAUUGCUUGGAUGAAGUAAAUGAAUUAAAUAUUCAUUUUUGCCAAAGUCAGAUUUAUUUUUAUUAGCUUUCUUUUAUUCAGAUAAAUAUAGAUAGAUGAUAGAUAGAUGGAGAGAGACGGAAGGAGAGCGAUGGAGAGAGAGAGAGAGGGAGGGAAUUUGUUGCUUGGUCUAUGCAGUUUCAUCUAAAAUACAAUAGUGUGUUUUGUCUUCUGACAACUAAAUAGACAAUUUCAUGCAGUUUUCUUGGCAAGAGUUUUCAGAAGUGGUUUGCCAUUGUCUCCUUCCAUGAGCUGAAAGAGAGUGACUGGCCCAAGAUCAUCCAGCUGGCUUCAUGCUUAAGUCAGGACUAGAACUUAGGUUUCCCUAAAUCCAGCACCUAAGGCACCAAUUCAAGCUAUCUAACCCUUUUGUAUAAUAAUACCCAUAAUAAUCAAUGUCACUCUUGAAGGAGUCAAAAUAGCAAAUAUAGUGCUAAUAAGUUCAAAGAGCCAACAAUGCUUUCUAGGAAAGAAGGAAGUGUGCAAAAUGUUCCACAAUCAGUACAAUAGGUAGAAAUAUUACUCUGAUAAUCUUGGGACUAAUUCAAAAAUUAUGACUUUUCUCCAGUGUGCAAAUCCAGAAAUACAUUAAUGUUUGUUUAAGAAAUGUAUAGGUAUAAUCCAAUCUCAUACUUCUCUGGAUGCACCAGGAGUCUUUUUUUUAUUAAAUUAGUUACAAUUACAGUUUUUUGGCAAAUGUUAAGAUUUAAGAAUGUAUUCAUUUUUAAGCAAAUUAAAAUGUAUGAUAGGGAUUAAAUAAGAAGAGAAAAGGAGAUACGGUUGUUUUGAGAAGUUAAAACCUUUUCUCAUUCCCCAACAUAUUUUCACAUAGAAGAAUAUGGGUUCUGCACUUUCUUAAUGCAUUGCAAAACUAGCCCUUUAUGGGUAAAGUUCUAUAAAACAGAAAUAAAUGGGUGGGAGCAAUGGUACCAUUUUAUUUUUGAUCUUGAAUAAAAGGCAAAGCCAGAAU
Long non-coding RNA from Pantherophis guttatus, 1642 nucleotides. RefSeq lists it as uncharacterized. Lineage: Eukaryota; Metazoa; Chordata; Lepidosauria; Squamata; Colubridae. The record is from RefSeq and is a predicted model, not a curated record.